GUGAGGAAUAUUGGUCAAUGGGCGAGAGCCUGAACCAGCCAAGUCGCGUGAAGGAUGAAGGUUUUAUGAAUUGUAAACUUCUUUUGCAGGGGAAUAAAGUACGGUACGUGUACCGUUUUGUAUGUACUCUGCGAAUAAGGAUCGGCUAACUCCGUGCCAGCAGCCGCGGUAAUACGGAGGAUCCAAGCGUUAUCCGGAUUUAUUGGGUUUAAAGGGUGCGCAGGCGGGUUGAUAAGUCAGCGGUGAAAGUUUGCAGCUUAACUGUAAAAUGGCCGUUGAAACUGGCGGUCUUGAGUGCAAAUGAGGUAGGCGGAAUGUGUUGUGUAGCGGUGAAAUGCUUAGAUAUAACACAGAACUCCGAUUGCGAAGGCAGCUUACUGGGAUGCAACUGACACUGAUGCACGAAAGCGUGGGUAUCAAACAGGAUUAGAUACCCUUGUAGUCC
Molecule: ribosomal RNA, 445 nt
Filed under: uncultured bacterium
Lineage: Bacteria
Description: partial 16S ribosomal RNA
Rfam family: Bacterial small subunit ribosomal RNA
Source: RNAcentral